This 468-nucleotide ribosomal RNA is filed under the name uncultured bacterium. RNAcentral's name for it is "partial 16S ribosomal RNA". It matches the Rfam family "Bacterial small subunit ribosomal RNA", at positions 28 to 507 of the family's 1533-position model. The record is from RNAcentral.
GACGAACGCUGGCGGCGUGCUUAACACAUGCAAGUCGAACGGAAAGGCCCUGCUUUUGUGGGGUGCUCGAGUGGCGAUCGGGUGCGUAACACGUGAGUAACCUGCCCUUGACUUUGGGAUAACUUCAGGAAACUGGGGCUAAUACCGGAUAGGAGCUCCUGCUGCAUGGUGAGCGUUGGAACGUUUCGGCUGUUGGGGAUGGAUUCGCGGCUUAUCAGCUUGUUGGUUGGGUAGUGGCUUACCAAGUAUGUGACGGAUACCCGGCACGAGAGGGUGACCGGGCACCUUACGACUAAGAUAGGGAGCAGUCGGCAACGGGAGACAACGGUGGGAAGUCUGACACAGUCAGAGGGAGCCGGAGAAGAAGGCGUCGGGUUCGGGAUGACGGCCUGCGGGGUGAGAACAGCUUUCGCCUGAGACGAAGCGUGAGUGACGGUAAUGAGUAAAGAAGCACCGGCUAACUACGUG